This 175-nucleotide non-coding RNA is filed under the name Climacostomum virens. Lineage: Eukaryota; Ciliophora; Heterotrichea; Heterotrichida; Climacostomidae. The record is from RNAcentral.
GACACUCCCUACAUAGAGCCCGAGCGUUUGAGAAUCAGGGAGCUAAACAGCAACAGGGAAAAAUGGGUCUGCAACAAAGACUUCCGCAGAGUAACCACGAGUCAUGGGUUCACAAGGCCUUCCACUACUAAUCCGUCAACUCCGCUUUCGACAAACCCGAUUAGGAGUAAUAGCA